This is a long non-coding RNA of Aquila chrysaetos chrysaetos, 1184 nucleotides long. RefSeq lists it as uncharacterized. Lineage: Eukaryota; Metazoa; Chordata; Aves; Accipitriformes; Accipitridae. The transcript is spliced from 2 exons. The record is from RefSeq and is a predicted model, not a curated record.
AAAGGAUAUGAUGAAGAUUAUUAAUAUAGCAAUAAAUUUCAUCAGCCUUGCCUCUUGAAACUAGGACAACUGCGGUCAGCAAUAAAAAUCAUAAUAGUCUGAAGCUCCUCUGUAGCUCUGUAACCUCCCUAUGUCACUCACUGUUACGGUAGCUUUAAAAGUGGUGCUUAAGCCCAUCUGCUAGGAAAAUAUCACUUGCAAUGCCUUAAGUGUGCAUUAAUCCUGGAUCCCAUGCGUGGCAGCUUCACAAUGGUCCUGCUGCAUCUGAGGACUGUCACGUUCACCUGGCAGAAGAUGAAGAGAAGCUCUGGAGUCCCUCUGUGGUCACCUCGUGGAGAGCCUGGACUGCCCUAGGCUGGCCAGCCUGCCAUGGGCACAACUCGCUGUGUAUCUCUUCACAUCUGGUGAACAAUCUACAGAAAACUGACACUCAUAUAGCAGCCUUGGGGCUGCACCAUAGCCAGCAGGAUGGGAGAAAGGCCUGGGAGCGGAGGAGACAGGAAACAUUUAUGGUAUUUAUACGAAUGCCAGCAGAUUGUGCCAGAGCUACUGCUUUCCCCGGGUGUUGUUUCACCCUGAGGCAGCACACUCCCUCACCAGCCUGACUGUCCUCUGCGUCGGCUGCCAGGGGCGUCCAUGUCUUCAGUGGAUGCUGUCUUUAGGCAUUGCUCAGCUGGGGUGUGCUGACACAUCCCGUGAGACCAAUGCCUCUUCCUACAUUCAAGGUUACACAGAGAGGGAGAAUGACAGCACACAUAAAACUACUUUUUGCCUUCUGAUUUUUCAGUGUCCCCUUUUCCAGAAAGAAAGCCUUCCUCUCUUUCUUUCAAGGAUCAGAUGUCUCAAAAAUACAGUGCCCCAAGAACUGGAGUAAAUCUUUUGCACUUCAUUGUAUGGCUGCAUUGGAGAGGAAGAGGCUACAACCAGAGAAAAGGGACUGAGCCACUAUGGAGUUGUUGUUGGUGGUGGGACAUCCCUCCAUGACUGCAAAGGCCAGGUGCUUGAGGCUACGUUCCCGGAACAUGUGGGAGGUCUUUCACAGGGCUGCUCCUUCCCUCCACAGAGAGGAUGUCUGAGUGUUGAGCGCACACUGUUUACCUUACAACCAUGACACAUGCUUACAUAUUUUGGAGGGGAAAAGCAACAUCUCUAAUAAAGACAGCACUAAGCAAAUGGCUCAGAAA